This 1377-nucleotide ribosomal RNA is filed under the name Limosilactobacillus sp. RNAcentral's name for it is "bacterial SSU rRNA". It matches the Rfam family "Bacterial small subunit ribosomal RNA", at positions 59 to 1393 of the family's 1533-position model. The record is from RNAcentral. Lineage: Bacteria; Bacillati; Bacillota; Bacilli; Lactobacillales; Lactobacillaceae.
CAGUCGAACGCGUUGGCCCAAUUGAUUGAUGGUGCUUGCACCUGAUUGAUUUUGGUCGCCAACGAGUGGCGGACGGGUGAGUAACACGUAGGUAACCUGCCCAGAAGCGGGGGACAACAUUUGGAAACAGAUGCUAAUACCGCAUAACAGCGUUGUUCGCAUGAACAACGCUUAAAAGAUGGCUUCUCGCUAUCACUUCUGGAUGGACCUGCGGUGCAUUAGCUUGUUGGUGGGGUAACGGCCUACCAAGGCGAUGAUGCAUAGCCGAGUUGAGAGACUGAUCGGCCACAAUGGGACUGAGACACGGCCCAUACUCCUACGGGAGGCAGCAGUAGGGAAUCUUCCACAAUGGGCGCAAGCCUGAUGGAGCAACACCGCGUGAGUGAAGAAGGGUUUCGGCUCGUAAAGCUCUGUUGUUAAAGAAGAACACGUAUGAGAGUAACUGUUCAUACGUUGACGGUAUUUAACCAGAAAGUCACGGCUAACUACGUGCCAGCAGCCGCGGUAAUACGUAGGUGGCAAGCGUUAUCCGGAUUUAUUGGGCGUAAAGAGAGUGCAGGCGGUUUUCUAAGUCUGAUGUGAAAGCCUUCGGCUUAACCGGAGAAGUGCAUCGGAAACUGGAUAACUUGAGUGCAGAAGAGGGUAGUGGAACUCCAUGUGUAGCGGUGGAAUGCGUAGAUAUAUGGAAGAACACCAGUGGCGAAGGCGGCUACCUGGUCUGCAACUGACGCUGAGACUCGAAAGCAUGGGUAGCGAACAGGAUUAGAUACCCUGGUAGUCCAUGCCGUAAACGAUGAGUGCUAGGUGUUGGAGGGUUUCCGCCCUUCAGUGCCGGAGCUAACGCAUUAAGCACUCCGCCUGGGGAGUACGACCGCAAGGUUGAAACUCAAAGGAAUUGACGGGGGCCCGCACAAGCGGUGGAGCAUGUGGUUUAAUUCGAAGCUACGCGAAGAACCUUACCAGGUCUUGACAUCUUGCGCCAACCCUAGAGAUAGGGCGUUUCCUUCGGGAACGCAAUGACAGGUGGUGCAUGGUCGUCGUCAGCUCGUGUCGUGAGAUGUUGGGUUAAGUCCCGCAACGAGCGCAACCCUUGUUACUAGUUGCCAGCAUUAAGUUGGGCACUCUAGUGAGACUGCCGGUGACAAACCGGAGGAAGGUGGGGACGACGUCAGAUCAUCAUGCCCCUUAUGACCUGGGCUACACACGUGCUACAAUGGACGGUACAACGAGUCGCGAACUCGCGAGGGCAAGCAAAUCUCUUAAAACCGUUCUCAGUUCGGACUGCAGGCUGCAACUCGCCUGCACGAAGUCGGAAUCGCUAGUAAUCGCGGAUCAGCAUGCCGCGGUGAAUACGUUCCCGGGCCUUGUACACACCGC